AAACUUUUGAAAUAAAGCUUACCCAAAAUACUAUUCUAAACAUAAUUUCAAACUUAAUUUAGCCAAAAACACCAUCAAUUUACAAAUCAAACUCUGCCCUAAUUAAAACCCUAAAUGUUAAAAUCAUCCUCAAACUUCACAAUUUCAAGCAGAUAACAACGAUUCAAGGUGUGAUAACAAUGAUUAUAUGAAGAAAAAAACUAAAAAUGGUACGAAAACGGGAUUAAGAAGUCUCGCCGAAACUUUGCAACUCCGGCGAGAGUUUGACGACCACUGGUUACCUCGGGAUGUGGUAGUGUGGUGCAUGAUAAAGAAGAUGAUGAAAAAGAAUAUCUUAUGAUGCAAAAUAUGAUGAUGAUGGAAAGAGGAUGGCACAACUAUUUUGGAGACUCUUACUUUUUAUAUAUUUUUGUCUUAUUAUUGAAAUGUAAAAUAUUCUUUUGUAUGCAAUAAAACUCUUUUUUAUACUAUUUUUGUUCUAAUUUGUAA
Molecule: long non-coding RNA, 489 nt
Organism: Lathyrus oleraceus (garden pea)
Lineage: Eukaryota; Viridiplantae; Streptophyta; Magnoliopsida; Fabales; Fabaceae
Exons: 2
Source: RefSeq, a predicted model, not a curated record